Long non-coding RNA from Salvia splendens (bonfire salvia), 657 nucleotides. RefSeq lists it as uncharacterized. The transcript is spliced from 2 exons. Lineage: Eukaryota; Viridiplantae; Streptophyta; Magnoliopsida; Lamiales; Lamiaceae. The record is from RefSeq and is a predicted model, not a curated record.
ACUAAUAAAAACAAGAAAUAAAAUGUAAUCUAUUCACGUCUGUUAUUCUCCUAUCUCUCCUUUCUUCUCCAAAUCUCCUCUGUCUCUCGAUUUCUCUCACAAAUUGGACCAAAAAGGGAGUAGCUAUAGUCGAUCCCCUUUUUCUCACACAACAUCGAAAACGAGAUUCCCAAAAUUGAACACACCCAAUUUUCUAAAUAAAUCCGUCAGAUCAGGUGGUGGUGCGGUGACACUGCCGAUGAGCUCCGCCGCCGGCAACCUUCAAUCACCGCUGCUGUUCGCCGCCGUCGUAGGCCGCUGUCCCAAGAUAUGUUCGAAUUAUCGAUUUGCUUCGGUUACUGGUUUCAUGAGAUGCACAAGAAUGGAAUAGGAAUUGGGUGGAUGAGGUAUACCUUCAACAAUAGAUGGUCUAUGGAUUUGCUUUUAGUGACUUCUGUUUCUUCCUCUCUGUAUUUGGAUUAUUCUGUGGAGAUUUGGUUUGUUGGAGAGAUUUUAGGGAGUAGAGAUAUGGGGAAAUCGUUUGUUGAUGGGGUUUGGAGAAAUAUAUUUGACCAAGUAGUUGACUGUAAAAUUGAAAUAAAUAAUUGAUUUUUUUUUUGUUUUUACGGGGUGUUACGACUCUUUACUUUCUCUUGCAAUGAAGUCACUGAUGUAUCA